GACGAACGCUGGCGGCGUGCUUAACACAUGCAAGUCGAACGGAAAGGCCCUGCUUUUGUGGGGUGCUCGAGUGGCGAACGGGUGAGUAACACGUGAGUAACCUGCCCUUGACUUUGGGAUAACUUCAGGAAACUGGGGCUAAUACCGGAUAGGAGCUCCUGCUGCAUGGUGGGGGUUGGAAAGUUUCGGCGGUUGGGGAUGGACUCGCGGCUUAUCAGCUUGUUGGUGGGGUAGUGGCUUUCCAAGGCUUUGAAGGGUAGCCGGCCUGAGAGGGUGACCGGGCACAUUGGGACUGCGGGACGGCCCAGACGCCUACGGGAGGCAGCAGUGGGGAGUAUUACACAGUGGGCGGAAGCCUGAUACAACGACGCCGCGUGCGGGAUGACGGCCUUCGGGUUGUAAACCGCUUUCGCAUGUAACGAAGCGUGAGUGACGGUAAUGGGUAAAAAAGCACCGGCUAACUACGUG
Molecule: ribosomal RNA, 468 nt
Filed under: uncultured bacterium
Lineage: Bacteria
Description: partial 16S ribosomal RNA
Rfam family: Bacterial small subunit ribosomal RNA
Source: RNAcentral